AGAGUUUGAUCCUGGCUCAGGACGAACGCUGGCGGCGUGCCUAAUACAUGCAAGUCGAACGCUUCUUUCCUCCCGAGUGCUUGCACUCAAUUGGAAAGAGGAGUGGCGGACGGGUGAGUAACACGUGGGUAACCUACCCAUCAGAGGGGGAUAACACUUGGAAACAGGUGCUAAUACCGCAUAACAGUUUAUGCCGCAUGGCAUAAGAGUGAAAGGCGCUUUCGGGUGUCGCUGAUGGAUGGACCCGCGGUGCAUUAGCUAGUUGGUGAGGUAACGGCUCACCAAGGCCACGAUGCAUAGCCGACCUGAGAGGGUGAUCGGCCACACUGGGACUGAGACACGGCCCAGACUCCUACGGGAGGCAGCAGUAGGGAAUCUUCGGCAAUGGACGAAA
This 394-nucleotide ribosomal RNA is filed under the name Enterococcus faecalis. RNAcentral's name for it is "bacterial SSU rRNA". It matches the Rfam family "Bacterial small subunit ribosomal RNA", at positions 8 to 380 of the family's 1533-position model. The record is from RNAcentral. Lineage: Bacteria; Bacillati; Bacillota; Bacilli; Lactobacillales; Enterococcaceae.